This 253-nucleotide ribosomal RNA is filed under the name uncultured bacterium. Its description in RNAcentral is "partial 16S ribosomal RNA". It matches the Rfam family "Bacterial small subunit ribosomal RNA", at positions 524 to 776 of the family's 1533-position model. The record is from RNAcentral.
UACGAAGGGGGCUAGCGUUGCUCGGAAUUACUGGGCGUAAAGCGCACGUAGGCGGCUUUCUAAGUCGGGGGUGAAAUCCUGGAGCUCAACUCCAGAACUGCCUUUGAUACUGGAGAGCUUGAGUCCGGGAGAGGUGAGUGGAACUCCGAGUGUAGAGGUGAAAUUCGUAGAUAUUCGGAAGAACACCAGUGGCGAAGGCGGCUCACUGGCCCGGUACUGACGCUGAGGUGCGAAAGCGUGGGGAGCAAACAGG